Molecule: long non-coding RNA, 237 nt
Filed under: Penaeus japonicus
Lineage: Eukaryota; Metazoa; Arthropoda; Malacostraca; Decapoda; Penaeidae
Description: uncharacterized LOC122249005
Source: RNAcentral
AUCAAACAUCAGCCAUGUCUCUCAAGGUGAUCCUCGUAGCUUGUGUGGCCGUCGUGGCUGUAGCCGAUAAGGCUCCUGUGUACAAUCAGCUACCUGUUUAUGCUGCUCCCACGUACCACGCUCCCGAACCAGUGUACCAUGCCCCUUCCCACUACAAGCAGCCUGAAUACCCUACCGUACCACCAAAGUACAACUACAACUACGGUGUUGUCGAUGGCUACUCCGGCGCCAACUUCG